GGAUAGAUGAUCGAGCGGUUUAAGGUGUCAGUCUUGAAAACUGAAGUAUAUAAAAUACCGUGGGUUCGAAUCCCACUCUAUCCU
RNAcentral lists this transfer RNA (84 nucleotides) under Plasmopara halstedii. It matches the Rfam family "tRNA". Rfam says of the family: Transfer RNA (tRNA) molecules are approximately 80 nucleotides in length. Their secondary structure includes four short double-helical elements and three loops (D, anti-codon, and T loops). Lineage: Eukaryota; Oomycota; Peronosporomycetes; Peronosporales; Peronosporaceae. The record is from Rfam by way of RNAcentral.